GAGCGGAGAUAUAUGGAGCUUGCUUUAUUAACUUAGCAGCGAACGGGUGAGUAACACGUAGAUAAUCUAUCCUAUACUGGGGGAUAGCCCGAUGAAAGUUGGAUUAAUACCGCAUAUAGCUAUAUAGUUGCAUGAUUAUGUAGUGAAAGAUUUAUUGGUAUAGGAGGAGUCUGCGGCACAUUAGCUAGUAGGUGAGGUAAAGGCUUACCUAGGCGACGAUGUGUAGCCGGUCUGAGAGGAUGAACGGCCACAAUGGAACUGAGACACGGUCCAUACUCCUACGGGAGGCAGCAGUGGGGAAUAUUGCACAAUGGGGGAAACCCUGAUGCAGCAACGCCGCGUGAGUGAAGAAGGUUUUCGGAUUGUAAAGCUCUGUUAGCAGGGAAGAGGAAGGACGGUACCUGCAGAGGAAGCCACGGCUAACUACGUGCCAGCAGCCGCGGUGAUACGUAGGUGGCAAGCGUUGUUCGGAAUAACUGGGCGUAAAGGAUGCGUAGGCGGUUAAACAAGUUAUAUGUUAAAUAUAUAGGCUUAACCUGUAGAAAGCAUAUAAAACUGUUUAACUAGAGUGCAGGAGAGGUAAGUGGAAUUCCUAGUGUAGCGGUGAAAUGCGUAGAGAUUAGGAAGAACACCAGUGGCGAAGGCGACUUACUGGACUGUAACUGACGCUGAGGCAUGAGAGCAUGGGGAGCAAACAGGAUUAGAUACCCUGGUAGUCCAUGCUGUAAACGAUGGGUACUAGGUGUGGGUUGUGAAUAACAAUUCGUGCCGUCGCAAACGCAAUAAGUACCCCGCCUGAGGAG
RNAcentral lists this ribosomal RNA (803 nucleotides) under uncultured bacterium. RNAcentral describes it as "bacterial SSU rRNA". It matches the Rfam family "Bacterial small subunit ribosomal RNA", at positions 64 to 880 of the family's 1533-position model. The record is from RNAcentral.